Molecule: unclassified non-coding RNA, 563 nt
Filed under: Hevea brasiliensis (rubber tree)
Lineage: Eukaryota; Viridiplantae; Streptophyta; Magnoliopsida; Malpighiales; Euphorbiaceae
Source: RNAcentral
GGUGUAGAUCCGAGUAUUAGAGCAGAGGUUUGGCCAUUCCUUCUUGGAGUCUAUGACCUGAACAGUUCCAAAGAAGAAAGAGAUACUAUAAGGACUCAGAAAAGAAAGGAAUAUGAGAAACUCCGCAGACAGUGCCGCCGGCUCCUGAAACAUAGCAAUGAGAGCUUCAAGUUGAACGAGAGUAGCAAACCAAGCAUCAAUAUAGACAGCGGAAGUCUUGUUCAAUAUACAGAUUCUUCUAGUUUUGAGGAUGUGGUUAGUGCCAGGGAAUCCCUUUCCAGUGAGGAAAGGAGUCCAGAUGUUGAGUACUCUGAUGAUCCAUGUAUUACACUGUUGGAAGGUGAUGAUAGUUCAAGACAAAAAACAACAAACACUGAUGCAUCUGCACUAAACACUGAAUCAUCUGACUCAGACUCCUCUGAAGACCCUGAAGCUGUUAUACAGGCUUCCUCUUCUUCAGAAGGCCAGGAAAAGAAUGAACGUGAUGAGCCUUCCAAAGAGUUUAUUUCUCCUUCAAGGACAGAACUCCACUUAAGUGCACCUGCUGCUGAAAAUUUUGCUAC